Molecule: ribosomal RNA, 533 nt
Filed under: uncultured bacterium
Lineage: Bacteria
Description: bacterial SSU rRNA
Rfam family: Bacterial small subunit ribosomal RNA
Source: RNAcentral
AGAUAAUAGAUACCCCGGUAGUCCACGCCGUAAACGAUGGAUGCUAGCUGUUAUAGGUAUCGACCCCUGUAGUAGCGAAAGCUAACGCGUUAAGCAUCCCGCCUGUGGAGUACGGUCGCAAGACUAAAACAUAAAGGAAUUGACGGGGACCCGCACAAGCGGUGGAGCGUGUUGUUUAAUUCGAUGGUAAACGAAGAACCUUACCAGGUUUGACAUCCUUGGAAUUUCUCCGAAAGGAGAGAGUGCUUUAUUGAGCCAAGUGACAGGUGAUGCAUGGCCGUCGUCAGCUCGUGUCGUGAGAUGUUUGGUUAAGUCCAUCAACGAGCGCAACCCUUGUGAUUAGUUGAAUUUUUCUAAUCAGACUGCCCUGGUAACAGGGAGGAAGGAGGGGAUGAUGUCAGGUCAGUAUUUCCCUUACAUCUGGGGCUACAAACACGCUACAAUGGCCGGUACAAAGGGCAGCCAAGUCGCGAGACGGAGCAAAUCCCAUCAAAGCCGGUCUCAGUUCGGAUUGCAGGCUGAAACUCGCCUGC